Molecule: non-coding RNA, 408 nt
Organism: Meleagris gallopavo (turkey)
Lineage: Eukaryota; Metazoa; Chordata; Aves; Galliformes; Phasianidae
Source: RefSeq, a predicted model, not a curated record
CGGGCGGGAGGGAGGGAACGGCCGCGAGGCUCCUCGGAACGGGCAGCGCGCCAUUAACGGCGUCACCCUGAAGCGUGUCUCUGCAGUCUUUUUGGCAGAGGCUUCUUCUCUGGGCGGAUGUCUUAGACCCCCUGCACCUCCUGAAGUCCGCGGAUGAAAUAAAAAAGCCCGGUUAUUGUUAGAAAAUAGUGAAAAGACCCAAAGUGAGCCCAUACAGAAUCAUCAGAAAUGUUUCUAGAAUGUGGAGGAAAUUUCUUUGGAUGACCGCUGCCAAAUUUCAGAGUAAUUGUUCUGAAGAAUAUGCAAAAUAUGCAAAAUGCUCAUAGAGUGCAUUUUGAGUCUUUGGUGUUGCAUCAUCAAACAGAAUGCAGGUUGGUUUGGUUUCACCUUUCAUGAAAUGAGCAGUAG